Small nuclear RNA from Peromyscus californicus insignis, 104 nucleotides. The record is from RefSeq and is a predicted model, not a curated record. NCBI's taxonomy places the organism in Eukaryota, Metazoa, Chordata, Mammalia, Rodentia, Cricetidae.
UUACUUUGGCAGCAUAUAUACUAAAAUUGGAACAAAUACAGAGAAGAUUAGCAUGGCCCCAGUGAAAGGAUGACACCCAAAUUCAUGAAGGAUUCCGUAACUUU